This 462-nucleotide ribosomal RNA is filed under the name uncultured bacterium. Its description in RNAcentral is "partial 16S ribosomal RNA". It matches the Rfam family "Bacterial small subunit ribosomal RNA", at positions 29 to 523 of the family's 1533-position model. The record is from RNAcentral.
AAUGAACGUUGGCGGCAUGGAUUAGGCAUGCAAGUCGGGGGAAUCCCAGCAAUGGGGGAACCGGCGUAAGGGGCAGUAAGGCAUGGGUACCUACCUUGGGGUUCGGGAUAGCCAUCAGAGACGGUGGGUAAUACCGGAUGACGUCGUGAGACCAAAGAUUUAUCGCCCUUAGAGGGGCCCAUGUGAUAUUAGCUAGUUGGUGGGGUAACGGCCCACCAAGGCGAAGAUGUCUAGCGGGUGUGAGAGCACGACCCGCGCCACUCGCACUGAGACACUGGCGAGACACCUACGGGUGGCUGCAGUCGAGGAUCUUCGGCAAUGAGCGCAAGCUUGACCGAGCGAUGCCGCGUGAGCGAUGAAGGCCUUCGGGUUGUAAAGCUCUUUAGUGGGGGAGAAAAGCCGCAAGGUGUGAUCUAUCCCAAAAAUAAGCACGGGCUAAGUUCGUGCCAGCAGCCGCCGCAG